This 471-nucleotide long non-coding RNA is filed under the name Physcomitrium patens. Its description in RNAcentral is "long non-coding RNA (PPAT_LNC014636)". Lineage: Eukaryota; Viridiplantae; Streptophyta; Bryopsida; Funariales; Funariaceae. The record is from RNAcentral.
UAUAAUAUCUUUUUGAUAUUGUAGUAUUUAUUUGUCUUCUAAUUUUAAGGUUAAAUAACUUAUUGGAGCUUGGCCAAUAAGUUAAAACAAAACUCUCUACAGCUAGAUACCUAAUGUAUUUUCAGAUAGAAAACCAUGCAAUAUGACAUCAUAUUAAACUAUUUGGCACAAUAUGUUGUUGCCUUUGUUUGUACUCAAGAUAGAUAUCGAAAAAUUCCAAUUGUUCUUCUCAAUGAUGAUGCUAUAAUUUCAUAUUUUUAAUGUAAAUCAUGUAAUAAGGAUUGAUAGUUAGUUUGAACAACCACUGGCUUUCCCAAUAGAUAAAUUCUCUAUACCUUUGUGGCAUAUAUAAUCACUAAUUGCUCUGAAUUACGUGCAAAGUAAUUACACUUUGUCCUUCUGAGCUUGCGUGAUUCAUAUGCUAUAGAUUGAAGGCUCCUAUCAAAGUCUUGUUGAAGGAUCGCUCCAAUA